AACUCAAACACAAAUACAUAAAAUAAUAUGUUGUUGCAUUUUAAAACUAAUUUAUCUGUAAUGGUUAUACAUCAUUGGUGUGCGUGAAGACAGCUUGAGAUCUAUCUUUCAGUUUUUAUUCCGUCGAUUGAUCGACCAUUACUGUUUUUCUGCGAUUCUUGAGCAUCGUUGAGGACUGCGAAAUGCCGGAACAAUGAUCCGGAACCUGUUUGCUGUACGAAUUUAGACCCCAUUUCAUACAUGAGUCCUUCGUAGCAAUAUAGACUUUGGAGCUGAUAUAUAAUCUUCACGUCAUGUCUACGUGAAAACCUACGUGGUUUUUCUCCACAGCACUUUUCACGUAACGGAUAAGUGAUUUAAUGGUGAAGGAACUCAGUACCACUCAAUCGGAUGUCACAGGCAUUCAACUUAAAGUCUACGUAACUAUUUCAAUGGGUUAUAUGAGGAACAUGAUCUUUCCCACAUUCGAAUUAAUUAUUACAUCAUCAAUAAUAGUUUGCGAUGGUUCGAUUGAUCGACCAUUAGUGUUUUUCUGCGAUUCUUGAGCAUCGUUGAGGACUGGGAAAUGCCGGAACAAUGUUCCGGAACCUGUUUGCUGUACGAAUUUAGACCCCAUUUCAUACAUGAGUCCUUCGUAGCAAUAUAGACUUUGGAGCUGAUAUAUAAUCUUCACGUCAUGUCUACGUGAAAACCUACGUGGUUUUUCUCCACAGCACUUUUCACGUAACGGAUAAGUGACAGUGAGGAAGGAGGUGAAGGAACUCAGUACCACUCAAUCGGAUGUCACAGGCAUUCAACUUAAAGUCUACGUAACUAUUUCAAUGGGUUA
Armigeres subalbatus is the source of this 829-nucleotide long non-coding RNA. RefSeq lists it as uncharacterized. NCBI's taxonomy places the organism in Eukaryota, Metazoa, Arthropoda, Insecta, Diptera, Culicidae. The record is from RefSeq and is a predicted model, not a curated record. The transcript is spliced from 6 exons.